This 1680-nucleotide long non-coding RNA is filed under the name Gallus gallus (chicken). RNAcentral's name for it is "long non-coding RNA NONGGAT011727". Lineage: Eukaryota; Metazoa; Chordata; Aves; Galliformes; Phasianidae. The record is from RNAcentral.
AGAGAGAAGGCAGGCAGAGCAGGAAGGACUCAGGAAAGUUUGGUUGAAGUAGCCCCAGACCUCCUCUCGCUACCGGCUCCCAGCCAAGCCGAGCGCGGCGGCAGCAGGAGCCUUGGCAGCCUCGCCCGGGGGACGGCGCGGAGCACGCUGACGUCAGCCUGCAGAUGUGCCCCGGCCCGGCGGCAGCGCCGCGCAUGCGCGCCGCGUCACGUGGCGGCGGGGGGGGCAGGGGUACAGUCGGGGUAACGCGAAGCGGCGGGGAGGGAUGAGGAGAGGGUGCUGUGCUCUGUCGGUGCGCCCACCGCGCCGAAGGGGGAACUGAACGGGGCUUUAACGGCCCUUGCCUCCGGCUGUGCUGUAGAGCAGUGCGGUGCGGCGUAGUGUGGUGUGGCAUGGCGCGGUGUGUGGGAGCCCGACUGGGCCCCGGGUGGGCGUUGCUGGCGGCGGGCCGGGCAGCCUCCUCUGCCCGGUGAGGCGCCGAGGAAGCCGGCAGAGGCCUCCCGCCGGCCUUCGACCCGGGCGUUACCGCGGAUUUAAUCACAAAGCAGCUCUCAUGUGCCGUGAGGGCGCGGUGCCGGAGAGGCAGUUUGGGGAACGGGGACUUUCGGGGCCGGGACGGGAGGAGGCCUCCCCAGGGGGGCCCGCGUAGCGCUGCGGCUUUAUUUGCAGCGCUGAGCCCGGGUCAGAGCGGGUUCACGCUGCUGCUAGCAGGCCGCCCGAGUGCUGCGCUUCUUCGUGCCGCGUCGGAGGCAGCGGGGUGGUGCCGGUGAGCCGUUAACGCGCGGGAAGGGUCCCACAGUGCAGCCGCUGCGGGGCGCGUCCGAGGACUGGAGGGCAGCCACGGCCCUCGGGGCCUGAAGGCCGGUCUUGAGGUGGCACUCACAGCGACAGAACCACGGUCCGCUUAGUUCUGUCUGAGCGUAGCGUUGCUGCGGUUCAGGUCUAAGUUCUGCACGUAAACAGGUGACGUUCCCAUCAGCAGGAGCUUCAGCGGAGUUAGCACAACCCUGGAGAAAGAUAAAGUUGUUCAUUAGAUCUCAGUGAUCUGAACAAUCUGUAAGACUUAUGGAGAAAAAAGUUGGGACAAGUUGUACAGUGUGUGGAAAUGCAUGUGGAAAAUCUCUAUGGAAAAAUCAGCCUAGUCUUAUACCUCCUUAUGAAAAUACCGAGUUGGACCCUCGUGGGUCCUGUCCGACUCAGCAUAUUCUGUGAUUCUGCGAUGCCAUUAACUACCUGUUGUUUUAGCCUGAUGUUUCUACUGAAGGUCUACACACAGCAUUUUUAUUUCUCAUUUUUGAACGUCUGUCCACAGAUACGUCUGUCUGACUUGCAGAGAUUUUCGGCUUUGCACAUGAAUGGAUACUCUUCUAUUGAGAUCUUUCUUUAGAGGGAUGAAACAAAUUAACGGGAAAAGAAUACCAGUGAAUUCACUUUGUGUGCCAUCUCCGCGAAGUUUUUUUCUGAGACUCCAUGGAAAAAAAAAGAAAUGCAGAAGCCUGAAGUGUCCCACGCAAAACUCUCAGAAUAGGCAGGGCAUCCCGGCAUUCCUCACGCUCAGCUCCGCGGUAAAACUGCACACCAAUCUGUUACCAGCUACCACAGUUUCUUACCAAAGGUGCCGUGUAAAAUAAGUUACUAAAAAUCUUCUGAAGUCCAUCUGUCUUUCAGAAAAUAAAGCAU